Molecule: ribosomal RNA, 198 nt
Filed under: uncultured bacterium
Lineage: Bacteria
Description: partial 16S ribosomal RNA
Rfam family: Bacterial small subunit ribosomal RNA
Source: RNAcentral
ACGCUCGACACCUACGGAAGGCAGCAGUGGGGAAUAUUGCACAAUGGGGGAAACCCUGAUGCAGCGACGCCGCGUGAAGGAAGAAGUAUCUCGGUAUGUAAACUUCUAUCAGCAGGGAAGAAAGUGACGGUACCUGACUAAGAAGCCCCGGCUAACUACGUGCUAGCAGCCGCGGUAAUCUGAGCGGGCUGGCAAGGC